Molecule: ribosomal RNA, 1477 nt
Filed under: uncultured bacterium
Lineage: Bacteria
Description: bacterial SSU rRNA
Rfam family: Bacterial small subunit ribosomal RNA
Source: RNAcentral
GAGUUUGAUCCUGGCUCAGGAUGAACGCUAGCGGCAGGCUUAACACAUGCAAGUCGAGGGGCAGCAUGGCCUUCGGGCCGAUGGCGACCGGCGCACGGGUGCGUAACGCGUAUGCAACCUACCUUUUGGAGGGGGAUAGCCCGGGGAAACCCGGAUUAACCCCCCAUGGCACCUCUCCAACACCUGUUGGAUAGGUUAAACAUUCAUGGCCAAAAGAUGGGCAUGCGUCCCAUUAGCUUGAUGGUAGGGCAACGGCCUACCAUGGCGAUGAUGGGUAGGGGCCCUGAGAGGGGGGACCCCCACACUGGUACUGAGACACGGACCAGACUCCUACGGGAGGCAGCAGUGAGGAAUAUUGGACAAUGGGCGGGAGCCUGAUCCAGCCAUGCCGCGUGCGGGAAGAAGGCCCUAUGGGUCGUAAACCGCUUUUACAGGGGAAGAAACGCCUCCACGCGUGGGGGUUUGACGGUACCUGCGAACAAGGAUCGGCUAACUCCGUGCCAGCAGCCGCGGUAAUACGGAGGAUCCAAGCGUUAUCCGGAAUCAUUGGGUUUAAAGGGUCCGUAGGCGGGGGCGUAAGUCAGUGGUGAAAGUCUGUGGCUCAACCAUGGAAUUGCCGUUGAAACUGUGCCCCUUGAGUUGCCGUGAAGUGGUUGGAACAUGUGGUGUAGCGGUGAAAUGCAUAGAUAUCACAUAGAACACCGAUUGCGAAGGCAGAUCACUAACGGCAUACUGACGCUGAUGGACGAAAGCGUGGGUAGCGAACAGGAUUAGAUACCCUGGUAGUCCACGCCGUAAACGAUGGUCACUAGCUGUCCGGCGCACAUUGGUGCGCUGGGUGGCCAAGCGAAAGUGAUAAGUGACCCACCUGGGGAGUACGUUCGCAAGAAUGAAACUCAAAGGAAUUGACGGGGGCCCGCACAAGCGGUGGAGCAUGUGGUUAAUUCGAUGAUACGCGAGGAACCUUACCAGGGCUUGAAUGCAGCCUGACAGGGUCGGAAACGACCCCUCCUUCGGGCAGGUUGCAAGGUGCUGCAUGGUUGUCGUCAGCUCGUGCCGUGAGGUGUCAGGUUAAGUCCUAUAACGAGCGCAACCCCUGUUGUUAGUUGCCAGCACGUAAUGGUGGGAACUCUAGCAAGACUGCCGGUGCAAACCGCGAGGAAGGUGGGGACGACGUCAAAUCAUCACGGCCCUUACGUCCUGGGCCACACACGUGCUACAAUGGUGGGGACAGAGAGCGGCCACUGGGCGACCAGGAGCGAAUCUACAAACCCCAUCACAGUUCGGAUCGGAGUCUGCAACCCGACUCCGUGAAGCUGGAAUCGCUAGUAAUCGCAUAUCAGCCAUGAUGCGGUGAAUACGUUCCCGGGCCUUGUACACACCGCCCGUCAAGCCAUGGAAGCCGGGGGUGCCUGAAGUCCGUUGCCGCAAGGAGCGGCCUAGGGCAAAACUGGUAACUGGGGCUAAGUCGUAACAA